Sapajus apella (tufted capuchin) is the source of this 12097-nucleotide RNA transcript. It is a transcript of the gene named la-related protein 4 pseudogene, with no coding region annotated. The record is from RefSeq and is a predicted model, not a curated record. NCBI's taxonomy places the organism in Eukaryota, Metazoa, Chordata, Mammalia, Primates, Cebidae. The transcript has a single exon.
AUCCUUUUUAACCAGUUAUUUGAAAGAACUUAUAAAAAGGCUUUUUUUGGAGAGGUCUUAGCACUUUUUGGCAAUUUGUUUAGGUACAGUUGGAGAAUCUGUUCUGACUAAACAGGAUAGCUAUUGACUAUCCUGUACUCAAAUAGACAGUAGGGAGUGCUUUAGUUCUGAGAAUAACUGUGUUUUCUACUACCAGAAGCAAUGCCUUUUGAAUAUAAAACCCUUGGGGAGGCCGAGUCCUGUGUCACAUACUCUUUUGAGAGUCCACUCUCCAGCACAUGGGAGUUGUCAACAAACAGGUGUUUGAUAAAUAUUUGUUAAAAUACUGAAUAAGUGAACUAACCACCUUUUGGGAGAGGCUACUAAAUGUGUAGCUAUUUAAUGUACUUUGGUGGGCUUAAUGAGAUGAAGAGAGACUGAGAAGGAAACUUACACAGAAUUAUCAUGGGUUGGUUGAAUGAAUAUAGGUAUCCCCACAUCACUUUUGAAAUGAAAUGAAAUGUCCAUACCUCGUAAAGUCAACUGCUUUUAAAAUUUUCUUAGUGUUAUCAUUAUCUUGGAGAAUAGGAGAAACGGAGUUUGUGUUUUGGGAAAUCAAAUACUUUAUUACUAAAUUUGGUAAAUGUUUUACUAAACGGAAUUGAUUGUGUCUUGUUCUAAAAAUAUCAGCAGGGUGUUUGCAUUUUAUCAAAUGAGUAUGAAGUUGUUUUAUUGGUGGUAUCUCUAGCCCUACAUUCUGCUAUUCAUCAAUGGUGGUUAUGAAAUGAAAUUCAUAAUUAUUAGAGGCAACUCAAAGGAAUAACGUAUAGUAGUAGUUUAAAAUGGCUUGUUGGGUCAAGACAACUUUGAAGUUGUGAAGAAACUUUUACCCAUGGUACAUUGUUCAGAAUUGUAGCAGCUUCAUUUAUGAUUGUUGAGUUCACUUGGAUAGAGUGCUGUGCCCAUGAUAGAAACUGUAGUUUUUCCCAGGUGUCUGUUUUCUCAUUCUUCUGGUAUGAUAGAAUCCUCCAUUUUUGACCAGGAACAUGACUUCCAAGAACAGAGGCAUCUUUGUAUAUUUCAUGGCCAUGGAACUGAGUUCUGGCUAUUGCAGAGAAGCAUAAGUUUCAUGUGGCAGCUUAGUUUCAUGUGGAGGCUUCCAUAAGAGACAGCCUUUGUCUCUCUUCUUCAAGAUCCUUUCUCAAUCUUGCUUUCUGGAACGCACAUGCCAUAGUCUUAAUCGUGGGCUGAUAGAGGGGUGAGCUGAGAGGAGCCUGGGUCCCAAGGACUUCCUGGAGAAAAAUUGCUAUAGUGGAAGAGGCCGAUCUUAUGGGGAAAGACAAAUAUUCCUGACUUACCUAAUUCAUAGUUAUUUGGGAUCAUAUUUUCUAUCCCUUGUGGGUGAACCUCACCCCAUCUAUGUAGAGAUAGACGGGCUGGGUUUUAUCAGAUUGGAUUCCUAGGAUAUAAGGUCACAAUGAGGCUGCAUGAGACCAAGUUUCUCACCAUAUUCAGAGCUGUUUUAAAGUCCAUGCCUUACGAUUGCUGGUGAGUCAUGUAGCGUUCACUAAGCUUGGCAUGUUGAUACUUCCCUUGUUCUGGAUUUGGUCUGACUAUGUCAGGACUCAUAUAUGGCUUUCACAAAUUGCCUGCAAUGACUAGUCUGCAUCAUCUUCCUGGGUAUUGUAAAGGUAGAGAGUUGGGUUAGGGAGAGGUAACUGAAUAUAUAAGCAACAGGUCACAGUGCUCUUUUUAGGCAUUAUUAUUUUUAUUCUGGCCAUGAACAUCUUUUCCCUGAGAAAAUGUUUCCAUGAGUCUCACUAUUUGUUGAUAUCUUAAAAGAUAACAGUUGGUUGCCUGAAUAUUGUAUAUUGUAGCCAUUUUAUCAAAAUUAAAGCAGAGGCCAAAACAUACUAGGCUUUUCUUCUGUAUUUGAUAUAGCCAAAAUUUCUAAGACUUAAAAAUUAAUUAGUAGCACACACUCUCUUAAUCUUCUUGUGAAGCUUAAAAUCACUAACUAUUAGUCACCACAGUGUUUGGAAGCAAAACAGCUCUUUUAGCAAUGGCAUCUCUAUUAUGUGUUCACAUGUUGUCUCAAUGCCCAUUCAUUCUCUGUGUCUGUGAGUUGUAGUGUUUUUACAUUUUCCCUUAAAAUGGAUGUGUGUGUUUGGUAUGCGGGUGUUAGGGAAUGAGAAGAGGAGGGGCAUUCUUCAUGAAGUCAUCACUUGGAAGGCCAAUAUGUGCAAGUCACCGUGCUAAAUAUUGUUGAUGUAACAUUGGACCAGUGGGAAAAUACAGAGAGAGUAUCAAUGAGGGAAAAUGGAUGUGUGGACAGAAAAACAUAAGUGGCUUGACGUAGACUCUUCCUUCUCAUUAUCUGGAAUUCAUGUCUAAUCUCUUAGCCACCAGGCUGAGGGCACAUCAUAGACAUGGUGGAAAGGUGAACUGGAGGAGUUGAGUUUCGGGGAUUUGAAGGUGCCACAUUGAGUUUUUAGAGGUUCUAUAUCAUUUUAGAACUAAAUGCUUCUGUGUAUGUUUUGGUAAUUUUUUUCUAAGCCUACAUUGUCUAGUCUGCAUAGAGUAAUAUCAGCCUUCAGCAACUUUUAUCCAGUAUUGUUGCAAGAAUAUAAGGCAGAUGAAAUUGUAAAAGUAUUAUACCUUUUUAUAUUUCAGAAUGAAAACUAUUUUUAAAAAUUAUUCUAUUGGGGCACAGGCAUGUGAGCCGGUUGGAGUUGCCGUGGUAGGAACAAUUGGGCCAAGUAGGGGACAACAUGUUGCUUUUCCAGGAGCAGGUAAACAUCUAAAGGAACUGGUUUAAAUCCUAAUGCCAAAGUAUGACAAGAAAUUGCUCCUGGAAAUACCAAUGCCACCCUAGUAACACAUGGAACUAAAAGCUCUUGGCAUAAAACAGCAGCUAUAUCAGGUGCUCAUCCUGAGGAUAAUGUGAGCUCUCAGAAGGUAUUUGUAAAGACUAUGAAGUGAUGUAUUCUUCGUCUUGUGAAACCCCAAGAAAUACUAUAAGCAUUGAAGAAUCAACUGAAGGGAUGAUUUUAGGACCAGAAGAUCUGAGUUACCAAAUAUAUGAUGAUUCUGGAGAAAGCAUUUCAGUAGUUUCUACAGAAGACCUAAAAGAAUGUCUGAAGAAACAAUUAGAAUUCUGUUUUUCAUGAGAAAAUUUGUCAAAGGAUCUUUACUUGAUAUCUUAAAUGGAUAGUGAUCAGUUCAUCUCAGUUUGGACAGUUGCCAACAUGGAAGAAAUAAAAAAGUUGACUGUAGACCCUGAUCUAAUUCUUUUUUAAGUGUUAAGAUUUUCUUCCAUGGUGCAAGUUGAUGAGAAGUGUAAGAAAGUGAGACCAAGUCAUAGGCAUUGUAUUAUAAUUCUUAAAGAGAUUCCUGAAACAACACCAGUAGAGGAAGUGAAAGCUUCAUUCAAAAGAGAAAACUGCCCCAAAGUGAUAAACUGUGAGUCUGCACACAGUAGCAACUGGUAUAUCACUUUCUAGUCAGACAAAUAUGCACAACAGGCUUUUAAGUGCUUAAGAAGUUAAAACAUUUCAGGGCAAGCCAGUUGUGCAAGGAUAAAAGCCAUCAGUACAUUUUGUUGUUGUUGUUAGGAAUGGUUAUCGAUUAAUGGAUUCCAGUAUCUAUAGUCAGUCCAUUCAAACUCAAGCACGGUAUACUUCCCCAGUCUUUACGCAGCUCUAUGUAACCCUCGCCAACAGUACUCGGUCUAUGGUAUUGUGCUUCAGUCUUGGUCUCCAAGUCCUACAGCUUACUUUGAGACACCACUGGCUCCCUUUUCGCAGUGGUAGUUUUGUGAAUGUCUUUAAUUCACCAGGAUUGUAUAAAACAAAUGCUAUGAAUAUGGGUCGACCAUUCAAAAAAAAAAAAGAAAAAUGUGUGAAGCCUUAUUUUAGGUCAUCCAAUGGUUCAGAACACUCAGCAGAGGGCUCUGUAUCAUUGUGGGGGAUGGACAGUUGAACAGAUCUAGCUCAAGAAACUUUCCAACUGCAUGGUGUAACCGUAUAGUAACUGGUUAUCAGGAGCAAAUUUACCUUCAAAAGGAGACUUCCAUUUUGCAGAUGGAACAGAAUGGGGAAUAUGCUAGGGAAGGAGAACUCUUUUCAGAGGCCAAAGACGAAGAGAAUGUGAUGAUUUCAAGACCUCAUCCUUCAACAGCUGAAUCAAAGGUUCCAACUCCAAAGUUUGACUUACUAGCCUCAAAUUUUCCACCUUUACCUGGAAGUUAAUCAAGAAUGCCAGGUGAACUCAUUUUGGAGAAUAGGAUAUCUGAUAUUAAAGAUGUCUGCAAAGAAAAGGGUAAUGGAAAGUUGAGAGUUAGUUGCCCAGUGCCUGCAGAUGAGCAGACAGAAUGCACUUCUGGCCAGUAACUCAGUAUGAGUACCAGUUCUCCAUGUGCAGCUGAUCUUACUGCCUUAAGCACAUCUCAGCAAGAGAAGGAUCUACUAGAGCAUUCCUCUGUUCAGAAGGAUGGUCUCAACCAGAUGAAUAGACCAGUUUCUCCUCCAACUACUACAAAGCCAUCAAGGGCAAGUACUGCUUCACCAUGUAAUAGUAACAUAAAUGCUGCUACAGCUGUGGUUCUACAGGAACCCCGGAAGUUAAGUUAUGCUGAAGUGUAUCAGAAGCCGCCUAAAGAGCCAUCUUCAGUUCUUGUGUAGCAGCUUUGGGAACUUCACUCCAAUGUAUUGUCUCCCACCAAAAAUGAAGAUAAUGGAGCUCCUGAGAAGUCCAUUGAGAAACCAUGUGAGAAGCCAGCAGUAAGGGCUAGUAAUGUUUAUUCUGGCUUCUGAGGCAAUACCAUUCCCAGGGGAGAACAGCUAGAAAAAUCACAGAGCAGAGACGCCAGUUUAGCCAUAGGGCUAUACCUCAGGGAGUGACUCGAGCUAAUGACAUAGAGCAGUAUGUGCCACCCAUAUCGCCAAAGUAAAAAACAAUCAAAACAACAAAACUAUUCAAAAACUUCACUUUCUUUCUGUUAAACUCGAGCUGUGACUAUAUUGAAUUGUUUUGGAGGGUAGGGGGUAGCCAGGAAGGUAACAGGAGAAAGCACAUCCUUAAAUCAUUGUGGAUUUUGGAGUUGUGAGGGAUAGGAUCCCAAAAUUCACCUCUGAUGUGAUUUUUAAAUGCUUGAGGAUUCCUAUCUGUCUAUCUACGUAUAUAUACAUACACACACAUAUAAAAAGUAAAAGGUUUCUUUUUUGUUUUGUUUUGUUUUAAUUUGCAGAGAUUUGCUGCCAGGUUAGCUUGGCUAAAAAAAAAAAAAAAAAAGGACAUUAUAUGUCCUUCAGUAUAGGAGAUGAGGGAGUGAGAGGAAAUAUUUUUUGAAGAAGCAUUUCUGUAAAAUUAGAAAUUACUUUUUAAAAUCUAUUUACAGUUUGGCUUGGAGAAUGCCAUCUCUGACUAUAUGGCCUUGUAUUGCAAAGCAGAUCAGUAGCUGGGGUGCCUAUUGUGGGUGUGAGUAUGUACAAGAGCGAUUGAAGCCAAAUCUGUUGUCAUGUGGUAAAUGAUUUGAAAACUGAAUGUAACACUUGAGUGGAUUCUUUUCUAGUUGGAAAUUUAGUCUUUCUGACCUUACUAAUAUUUCAUUCAACAAGUUGUGAAACUCUGAUUGUACUUGGAGAUGUGACUACCAAUUGGUUUGAUAUUCAAGGAAGAAUGGGGGUUAUUCGAAAAACUGAAAAUUUCAUCUUGGACUUCAGUGCAUAGGUCAAAUGGAAUUCAGAGGUUUAAACUUCCCUUUGAUUUUCCCCACCCUAAAAUGGGAAACAAAAUUUUUUUUCUCACUCCAUUUUUCACUCUCUGUUCUUUACCACUCCAAAAGCAAAAUAACCAACUACCUACUGAAUUAUGUGUUUGUAAUUGCUUUGACCAGUCUAGUCAAAUCUUAUAAAUUGUGCUAAAUUUCAGAAGUGAACGUUGAUGUAUUUACUCUUCCGUUCACAUAUUUAGAAUUUUAGGUCCUGGGAUGGUGGGGCAGACUGACCCUACAGUAAUUUAUUUGUUGUUAGUGUUAAAGGUGAAACAUUAUAAUGGACUCUUAAGUGUUAAGCAGUGUAGAAGUAAAAUAUAUUUUUUUAAAGGCUUACUUUUUGAGGGGACUUAUUUCUGUUUACAAUGUAUUUACCACGUUUCUUCCCUUUUCCCCCGCAUUCAAAAAAUACAGUUUGGAAUUGACUGAAACAGAAUCAGCAAGUCAUGGGAUAUUUUAGUAAAGAUAAGAAAGAUGGUUGAUGAAAAUUAAUGCAUAAUUUUUCAGUUAAUAAAGUUGUGGCUUUUACAUACUAAAUAGACAAGUCUACAUGCUGUCAUUUAGAAAAUGGCUAAAAUAUUAAAAACUGUAUUGUGUUCAUCUGUUUUAAGUCAGACCAUAUUUAGAGUUCUUUGUAAGGUGGGUUUUAUUUUUCUUUUAAGGGUUAGUUUGUAAUAGUAAGAACUGUCCCAUAUGUUAGUGAAUUACAUAUGUAUAAAUUGAAACUGUAAAUUGUGAACCCUCAAAAGCACCAUGGUGACAUAGAGUAAAUGUCUUAGUAAUAUAUUAAAGUGAAUGUAAGUGGUGGUUAAAAUUACAUUACUGUGAAAUUCAUCUUCCAGCUCUAAGCUUUGGAGAUACAUAUUAGUGGUUAACUGGUAAGAGCUUUGAAAACAUUUCACAUAUCUGUACAAGCCACAAUUACUAUUUCAUUGACUUAUUAUUAGCUUGGCAGUUGCUUUUGAUUUGAUUUUUUUAUGUCAUGGUAUAUAUAUUUACUCACUUUGAAACUAUUCAUUUCUAUACACUAUUUAAAAAAAUUACCUACUAGGUGAAACAUGCAAUAAAACUAUCUGUGCUGAAAUUUGGGGGAAGUUUAGGUCCUUUAAAAAAAAGUAUUAAUUAUUGACUACAUCUAUGAUAAAAGUGCUUAUUUUGGUUUACUAAGAUAAUGCAGUUGGUGGAAAUGAUAAACAUUUUAAGUGUUAACAUCCUUUGAAUGCAUUGGAUUUCAGAGAAUAAACAUUUUGUAAAAAUUAAAAAAAUUAUUCUGUUGGCCUCCCUUUUAGAUGGGCAAAUUCAUUGGUGCUAGCCAUUCAAAAUUGUGUGAAGGGCAGUAUCUGACAUAAUUAUAAUAUUUAGGGAAAGUAUUUGUUGGGUGACCUCACAAUAAGUUCAGGUUUUUCUUUUUUUAGCUCCGAGGGCUUUUAAUAGAAUUGCUUUGGUCUAGGAAUUCAUGAUAGACUAAAUGAAAUCCUUCAGUCUGCUGGAUUUAGUGAAACCAUAAAUUAGCCUCAUGGUGAAUGCAUCUUUCUUUUUCCUGUUUCAUUUGAUACAAUUCACUGAAAUGAUGACUACCUAUAAGUGGUUAGAAUUUUAUGUGUGGAAAACUUGAAGAGAAAAACUUUUCAAAGUGAAGUGUUUGUUUCUUUCAUCAUGGUGUCACCCUCUUUUGAUCUUUUUCAUUGUGCUUAUGCUUAAAAAUAGAUUUCAGUAUAUGUUCCCUAAUGGUAAGGGUUUAUAUGCAAAAUAGGUUUUCUGCCAAUUUUACUGUCACAUAUAGGGUGAAACUGGGGGUGACCCAGUUUUCCUCAUUGGGCUUGAGGGAGGGGUGGGGACAGUUGGACCUGUCUACAGACCUCCCUCUCUACUCUUUAACUAAAAAAGUGGCACAAAGUGGUAGGAAGGAAACCUAAGCAGAUGUCUCAUUGGCAGGCCAAUGUGGAGUACUGAGAGGCAGUGUUCGUAGCAGCACAGCAGCUGUGGGGACCUCUGUCAUGGGGAGCAGGGCCCAGCAGUCAGGUUGGCUUUGGUGACAGGUUCCUGGCAUGAGCAAAUUCUUGAGUAACUGUAGUUCUAGCUAGAUUUCUAAAGACAAGACCUGCAUACACAGGAGAGCUGGGAAGCACUGUAUUUCACCCAAGCGGCCUGUGGUUGUAGACUUGAGGAAAUAUGAGGAGCCAGGGUAACAGCAAAUGGUACUUAUCUUUGGGUGCCAGAGUAUUUGGCCAGAGGUACACACAUUCUUCCCACCUGACGUUAGGGCUGGUCGGGAAGUUGUGGGCAGACCCCAGGGUAAGGUCAAGUAGCUCUAGCAGGAACGGGGCAGAGCCUGGCCUUUUAGUCAGGGGCAGGGAGCACUUCCCCAGUUGGGUCCUGUCUUGAAUCACGUCAGUGUUUGUAUCAGGGAAGGCAACCUUUCUGACUUCCUCUGAUCUGGAGAGGCCGUUUUGAUGCUGAGAAGAUAAUUGAAGCUUCUUAUAUCAAAUUGAGCCAUUUCUAAAUAUUGAGACACAUAGUUGCAUGGAGCUGCUGAUGUGCAGGGUACACAUUCAGAUUUGGGGAGAAUCUAAUAUAAUCUAAUGCAAUGUAAGCCGCGGUUCUAUAAAAUUUUGCAGUUUUUUUUUUUUUUGGACGUUUGCAGCUUUUGGGAUAUGAAUUUUGUGUUUUUUGGUUGGGUUGUGUUAUUUUGAGAACAGACAUGAAACCCAGUCACAUUUUUAGGAUAUUGUAUGUAUGCCAAAGGAAAUGUAUGUUUUUUUCCCCUGAAAUUUUUAUUUCUUAUGUAAAUAGCAUUAAAAUCAGGAAAAAAAAGAUGAAGAAAUCAAUUAUAAACCAAAACCCAUACUUUUUUUUUUUUUUUUUUAAACAAUUGUGCCUUCUAUUUUAGACCUUGGGCAUAGGCUUACUUGAGACUGUAAUUAUAAAUGUACUAUCAAUAUAACUUUAUAUAUUUUUUUACUUUAAAUUUUAUUCACUUACAGCCAAUAGUUGCAUGUUAACUUUGUUGAGUGAUGAACUCAGAUCUGCCAAAUUGAACUUUGAUUUUGAAUGGUGAAUUUUAGGGUAAAAAUGACUUUGUGUUUAGGCUCCAUUCUUUUGGCAAGUGUUGCAGUGGAGGUAACCGGUUGUUGGACGCCAUCGGCAGAAGGCUCAGUACCCUGGACAGGUCCUGGAAGUUGCUGUAGGGUGAGGGGAGCACUCCUGUGGUGUGGUUGGGACUUUGUUCUUGGUUAUAAGGCCUCUGAACUUGAUUUUCUGGUUCUGUGGUAAAUUCCGUGAGAUGUCUAAAACCUUUAGUAAAUUUCCGUUUUUCUUAAAACUAGAUUGAGUAGAUUAAGUUGUUUGCAACUAAGCAUCUUGUGAAACAUUGGCAUAUUGGUUCUUGAAAGUAAUCUGUUUUAUCAUUUGGAGACAGUCAUUAAGAACCUGGAGUCUAAGGGCAAACUGCCUGUAUUCAAUAUGCUGGCUGUGUUAAUUUGGAGAAGAUACUUCACUUUUCUCACUUAGCUUCUUCAGAAAACACAACUAUUAUUAUAGUGAUGAUAAUUAAAUAAAACAGUACCUGGUAGCUAAUAAGUGUUUCCCCAGUGUUACCAUCUUUAUUAUCAUGCUCAUCAUGACAGUAGGUAUUUAUUGAACACCUUUUCUUUAUUAGAGUUCAACAGAAAUGGGUAAAAGUUACAAAUCAGAUAUUGUAGCAAAACUUAGUGUAUAACAAAGCCUAAUUGUAUUGUGCAUACUCUUAAUGACAGCUCCAUCUCUGCUUAUUCUCUGGUUUCCCUUAAGACACACAGAGAAGCAGGGAAGGUAUUUAUAGCCGUCUAAGAUUGGAUUUAUUGAAUGAACGACAGUAAGUGCUGAGAAUAACUGAUAAAAAGGAUUUGAUUGUGAAUCAAGAAUAAAAGGCUUGUGGUAAGAUUUAGAAUUGUGUGUUUAGUAAGAGAAGAGCUUAAAGCAUUGUAAGGCAUUCCAUUUGUUGUUUUAACAUUGUCAGCAUGUAUUAUUAAAGUGGGUGGUUAUAGAAUAAUUAUAAUCCAUAUCAUGAUGAUGAUGAUGUUUUUAGAGAAGAUUGAAAAUCUACAGUUUUUUUCCAAACAAAGUAAGGAAAACAUGUCAUUUACUGGGGCUUCAAAUAGUUUGCUUGACCUCAUGAGAGUACUAGUGAGAUUAUUUAAAGGAAAGACAUGUUCAGUAAGGUACUUUUAUGCAAAUUUUUGCAUUUCCUUGUUGAAUUCUUAAAAGUAUCAGCUUAGUAAUUGGGGGUUGGGAUGGGAGUAAGAAACAGAAGACAGGGAAAAAUAUGAGAUUAUUAAUACAAUUAUUUUAAUAUAACUGAGAAUUUAUUUGGGAAGAGAGUGGUAAAGAUGGUAAUUAUACCUACAAUCUUUAUAAAUUAUAAGAAUUAUAAAGUGAAAAUGGCCAAUCAUUUUUACUGGUUUUAUAAGAGGUUUCUGUGACCUAUUAAAUUAAGAAAGUUUGAGGGGCAGGACAUAUAUUUUUGUGCAGAAAAAGAAUAAGGAAAUAUUUAAAUUGUUUUAAAAAGUAUUCUAAACUAUUUUACUCUGUGAAAAGUUUCUAAAGCAAUUGUGCUUAUUAGACAUAGACUGGUAGCAUUAUGGUCACAGAAUUAAAUUUAGCCUCUAGAUGUUCAUUCACUAUGAUUGCAUAGAAUUAGUAGAAUGUCUUAGGUAUUCUCUCAGGAUUUCAUAAAAUGAAGAAUUCUCUGAUAAGAAAGAUUCAUUCAUGGCAUUUUCUGUGUAAGCAAAACCAUAAAAUAUCUGAAAUUUAGUGGAAAAAACUGGGCACCAUGGAGUAAAAUUAGAUUGCUUCAUAAAACCCAACAUAUAUAACUAACCUUAUACAGCCACAGACUUGGUUUUCUGUGGGAGUUUUUAGAGCUUGCUUUUCGAGAAGGAGACUCAGAGUUGAACUCAGGAGAGAUUGGCCCAGUCCUGGAUUUUGAAGAAUUAAUUAGCUACCUGGGAAUAUUGUGGGAAUAAUUAAUCAUCAACCCUCAGUGUGGCUGGUUAUGUAAGGAUCCCCAGUGCCUUAGUGUGCUUCAGACUGCCUUAGCAAAAUACCAUGGAAUGGAUAACUUAAAACAACAGAAAUUUAUUUUCAUACAAGUUCUGGGGGCUGGAAGUUUGAGAUCAGGGUACCACCAUGGUCAGGUUCUGGUGAGGGCCCUCUUCCUGGCUUGCAGGCGGCCACCUACUUGCUGUGUCCUAACUUAACCUGUCUCAGUGAGUGCAAAAGGAUCUCUUCUCUCUCUCUCAAGAGACAGAGAUUUGCUGUGUUGCUCAGGCUGGAGUGCAGUGGCUACUCACAGGUCAUAGGCAUGCUACCAUUACUGAUCAGUAGGGGAGUUUUUACCUGCUUCGUCUCUGACCUAGGCAGAUCCACACCUCCUUAGACAACCUAGUGGUCCCCUGCUAUCAGAAAGUCACACCAUACUAUGCCAAACUUAGUAUGGACACCUGAUCUGCAUAGUAUACUAUAUCCCGGAACUCCUGGAUUCAAGUAGUCCUCCCUCCUCAGCUUCCCUGGUAGCUGGGACUACAAGAAUGAGCCAUUGUGUCUGACUCUUUAUCUUCUUUUAAUGCCACUAAUUCCAUCUUGAAGGCCCUGCCCUCAUGACCUCAUCUAACCUCAAUUACUUCCAAAAUCCUCGUCUACCAUUACACUGGGGGUUAGGGGUUCAACAUAUAAAUUUUGGGGGGGACAUAAACAUUUAGUUUAUGGUGCCUAUUAAUCCUUCAGGGUGAUUAGAGGAUCACUAGACCAGGUGACCUGUGAGCUGACUCUUAUUUCAUUCUCUUGUUGGAAUGUUGUAAUUUUCUUAUUUUUUGUACUUAAUUACUGGGUUAUUUUGUCAUCUUUUAUUUCAGAUUUAAGCAUUUUUUGUCAGAUUAUAAUCUGUAAAUUUGUUCAAGAUGGACUCAACAAAAAGUAGUUUAUAUGUUCUUAGAGAUUAUAUAUUUUGUAUUGGGGGUACAUUUUUCUCUGUUACUGACAUCAGGGUAUAUUUAAAUAUAUUACAAUUAAAAUAGAUAUCUAUGUUAAAAUUGCGUGGAUUAAAUAUUAUGUCAUAUAUUUAAUUUGUUUUUAAAUUUUUGUUUAUUUUAAGCCGCUGUUCACUCUAUUCAAAUCAUUUUUUUUCUUUGCAAAACUAGCUAGAACUGAUGAGGAAUCAAAGAAGGCCUUAUAUAUUAAAUUCUUAAGUAGAGUCUUAAAAUUUAAAGUAAGGAUCUAUAAUAGAGACACAGGCCGUGGGCCUUGUUCCAGCAAACAAAGCCACAAAUAGAGUCUUGCAAAUUAAGGAAGACGGCAAAUGUCUUAAAA